UCUCCGUAGGUGAACCUGCGGAGGGAUCAUUACAGAGUUCAUGCCCUACCGGGUAGAUCUCCCACCCUAUGUUAUUAUUACUUUGUUGCUUUGGCGGGCCGUUAAGCUCCGGCCCGACUACCGGCCCCGGCUGGUAAGCGCCCGCCAGAGGACCCAAAACCCUGAAUAUUAGUGUCGUCUGAGUAUUAUAUAAUAGUUAAAACUUUCAACAACGGAUCUCUUGGUUCUG
This 229-nucleotide unclassified non-coding RNA is filed under the name plant metagenome. RNAcentral's name for it is "partial contains small subunit ribosomal RNA, internal transcribed spacer 1, and 5.8S ribosomal RNA". The record is from RNAcentral.